GUGAAUCAUCAAAUUUUUGAACGCAAAUUGCACUUUCUGGUAUUCCGGAAAGUAUGCCUGUUUGAGGGUCAGUUAAAUCAAAAUCGGAGUUGUUGCUGCUUUUCGUGGUGACGCGUCGGAAUUGAGUAGUCUUACCUUCGGUUAAGUGACUUAAAAUUUUGAAUGACUUUCGACCGUUUGUAAUUUUCUUACGUACGUUUGAGAUAUCGAAUACUUUAUUCGGUUCGGUCAUUCUUUUGA
Molecule: unclassified non-coding RNA, 240 nt
Filed under: Glomeraceae sp.
Lineage: Eukaryota; Fungi; Glomeromycota; Glomeromycetes; Glomerales; Glomeraceae
Description: partial contains 5.8S ribosomal RNA and internal transcribed spacer 2
Rfam family: 5.8S ribosomal RNA (bases 1-71)
Source: RNAcentral